GUUUCUGCCUGCAGCUAGACCAGGAAGAAAGGAGACUGAGCAGAGGAAAUGAAAGAGUAAAGGAGAGGAGAGAGUGGGUAGGACACAAAGCUGAGGUGACUGAAGCAGCAGGAAGUAGGCAGGGCAUGAAGAAUUGGGAUUCAAAGCCCUUGAAUUUAGUUCCCAACUUCACUUAUGGGGCAAUGCUCCAAGUCACUCAGUCACCCUGAACUUCAGCUGGAGAAGGGGAACAGGAAUAAUGCCUAUCUUCCAGGAGUGUUCUGCACAAAACUGAAGGCACAGAUGAAAAAGCACUCUGCAAAUUAAAAGAGAAGGAUGGAUAGAGAAAAGCAUCAUUACAAAAGUGAAAUGUGUGAAUUUUAUUCUGGCUUUGAACAUUGAGUAGACGAAGAAGACAAUUCCAGACGGAGGAAACUCCACAAGAAAUAUCAUGGAAAUUUGAAAGAACACAGUGGGCUUGGGAAGAGAGAUCUCAGUGGUGGAAGCACCAUCAUCCCAAGGAGACUUAGGAAAAAGACAAGGCCCUGCUCUGAGGAGUGAAGACACAAUCCAGCAGGCAGGAGGGAUGGCUAAGUUCAAAGUCUUGAGAAGUGCCCCUCAUGGACACCCCAGGGUGCCCAUCUCCAGGUUACCACCAGGUGCUUCCAAGACCAAGAUAACCAGGCAAUCAUAGUAGAUGCAUCAAUGCACCCUUGCCCAAGGGCCUAGACAAGAGGAGGAAGGAAAGGAGGAGCACGUGCACAAAGCUAAGGAGGUGAUUAACAACAUGAUACAGUAUUGUUUAGCUUCGCAUGAAUUUUAUCACCUUGCCUAGAACCAGCCACCAUCUGCCAGGGCUCCUGACUUUUUCUGAAAUGAAUAGACACUAAAGCCUGCUGGGGAAUUUCAUGGAAAUCAAGAUGACUCAACCCAGAGUCCAUUUCAAGGCUAGGAUGCUAGAGGACGCCAACAAAGGAGUAGGGAAGUGAAACGGAUCAGCUCACAUCCAAGCCCUUGCAUGAUCAAUCCUGCAGUAGGAGUGCUGCUCAGUUGGGACUCAUGAGAGCCCGGAAGAGGAAAAAGCAGCUCUAAGCAUAGCAAAGAAGCUGUUAUGGAAAAGACCCAAAUGUUAAAAUGGUGGACAUAGUAAAGUGAUUGGUUCUGCUUAGGGGAAUCUAGAUCCCCACAUUUUGACCUCCACUGGAGUCUCAGAAGAACAAGUGCCAGGGGGGCUUGCCACAGAGGCCAAGGCAGUGAAUGUCAGGCACAUCACAGUCCCCAAGAUGGGGAGAAGACUGAGAUGCAGGGUAACAACUGCAAUCCAUUCAUGGGAGCCAUGUUUAUCUUAAAUCAUUGACAGUGAGAUAAGGAUCAUGUCAGCCUUCAUACCUUUGAUGAUGAUCCCAGGCUGCAACAGUGACACAUAGAACUGGAUUCAGUAACUAACUACAGAUUCCAUCAACCAGGACUAGUAAAGUGAAAGGCAGAAAUUGGGAGGAGGGGUUUCUUUCUUGCUUAUAAAACUUUAUUUGGUUGUGUUGAGUAUGUGCAUGUAUGUAUGAAAUCCCAUAAAGCAGUCUUCUUAGGAACAAGCCAACAUGCCACAAUGUAGGAGAUCUUUGGAGCACUGGCCUAAAUGGCAGAGAGCUCAAGGGACUCUGCUUUGUACAAGGCAUGAUUUGUACCACCACCACUAUCCCUGUUUCAGAGCACUGUUGAAUUGUUCCAAACCUGGAUUUCUAUGUCAGCUCCCUGUCUAUAGUACUUGACUGAUAAAUGCUAGUUUCUGAAAUCUGCUUUGGUUCUAUAAUUUAUUAGACAGCUUUUUCUUCCCAUUUUAUUACUUGUUUUUACUGUCAUUGGUAUAUUAUCUCUUACAGUGAAAACAUUCAUAGGCUGAUUGAAGAGAAGAUCUGAAAUUAUUAGGCAGCAAGCAUACAAAACCCUUGCUUUAUAAAGAUAAUAUCUUAAAGGCCUAAUGUCUAUGGUUCAAAGCAGCCUGGAGAUGUUGGCUAAAUCUUCCAUCAUAGAGUCCUCAUGGGAUCUGGAAGCUCUGAUUUAUCUUCCUUCAGGCCCUAUAAGUUAGCUUUCCACAUCUGUAGGUUCCACAAUCAACCUUGGAUCAAAAACAUUUGAAA
RNAcentral lists this long non-coding RNA (2117 nucleotides) under Homo sapiens (human). Its description in RNAcentral is "HSALNT0172495". The record is from RNAcentral. Lineage: Eukaryota; Metazoa; Chordata; Mammalia; Primates; Hominidae.